AUGCAUCACGAGUGUGUGUGGACAAGAAGCAAAUUUUCAGCAAUGACAAAAGUUGAGUAUGUUAGCAAUAAUUUGGCAGAGGUUUUCAACAAUUGGAUUAAGGAUGUGAAGCAACUUGCACUUGUUGAGCUUUUGGACAACCUUAGAGAAAUGAUAAUGAUAUUGUUCGAGAAAAGGAGAGCCGUUGGUGAAGCGCUGCUAGGUUACAUACUACCUAGUGUGAUAAAGGAGUUGAAUAUGAAAAGUAAGGGGCUGCAUUAUUUGGAAGCAAGAGCAUCGCCAAAUAUAGCUGAGAUUUUAGGAAAUGGAUGGAGGCACAUCGUUAACUUGGAGAAAAAUGAGUGCUCUUGUAGAAGAUGGCAGAUUUGUGGUAAACCUUGCACACAUGCUCUCCGGUUCGUCUUCUCCAAAAAAGCCAAGCUAGAGGAUUAUGUUGCAGAGUGCUUCUCAGUGGCAAGGUUCCAAGCGGGAUGUGAUGGAGUUCUCAUGCCAAUUAGGGGCAGAUCCCAAUGGACCAAGGUAAAUCCUGGAUUUGAUAUGAUCCUUCCCAAACUUACCAAGAGUGAUGGAGGUCCAAGAACUAGGAGGAUAAAGAAUUACACCAAAGGUGGAACCAGUAGAAGACACAAAUGCAAAAGAUGUGGAGCAACAGGCCAUCUUCGAAAGACAUGCAAGGAGCCUGAGAUGAAAAGUGAUGCGGAUCGAGAUGCUACUCCUCCUCCGCGGUAUUUAUUUCGAAAAAGUCAAAGGCUGAAGCAAGCAUUGCGACUACUUCUCCUAAGACACCAACUAAGCAAGGUACUCAACUUGAUACUCCUACAAGUCCAAUGA
RNAcentral lists this ribosomal RNA (831 nucleotides) under Triticum aestivum (bread wheat). RNAcentral's name for it is "partial small subunit ribosomal RNA". Lineage: Eukaryota; Viridiplantae; Streptophyta; Magnoliopsida; Poales; Poaceae. The record is from RNAcentral.